UGGCGUCUGUGUAGGUGCCCACCCGUCACUCCGAGUAUGGAAGACUCUCUGGUGGCGUCUGUGUAGGUGCCCACCCGUCACUCCGAGUAUGGAAGACUCUCUGGUGGCGUCUGUGUAGGUGCCCACCAGUCACUCCGAGUAUGGAAGACUCUCUGGUGGCGUCUGUGUAGGUGCCCACCAGUCACUCCGAGUAUGGAUGACUCUGGUGGCGUCUGUGUAGGUGCCCACCAGUCACUCCGAGUAUGGAAGACUCUCUGGUGGCGUCUGUGUAGGUGCAUACCAGUCACUCCGAGUAUGGAAGACUCUCUGGUGGCGUCUGUGUAGGUGCCCACCAGUCACUCCGAGUAUGGAUGACUCUGGUGGCGUCUGUGUAGGUGCCCACCCGUCACUCCGAGUAUGGAUGGCUCUGGUGGCGUCUGUGUAGGUGCCCACCAGUCACUCCGAGUAUGGAAGACUCUCUGGUGGCGACUGUGUAGGUGCCCACCCGUCACUCCGAGUAUGGAUGACUCUGGUGGCGUCUGUGUAGGUGCCCACCAGUCACUCCGAGUAUGGAAGACUCUCUGGUGGCGUCUGUGUAGGUGCCCACCAGUCACUCCGAGUAUGGAUGACUCUCUGGUGGCGUCUGUGUAGGUGCCCACCAGUCACUCCGAGUAUUGAUGACUCUCUGGUGGCGUCUGUGUAGGUGCCCACCCGUCACUCCGAGUAUGGAAGACUCUCUGGUGGCGUCUGUGUAGGUGCCCACCCGUCACUGAGUGAAGCUUGUAAGUUGAUAAAAACAGACAUUGAUAAUUUCGUGUGUCUGAAUUUCACAAAAGAUAUAUUCUCCUCUGAUAGAAAUAUUAAUCUACUAUGUACAAACAUACCACCAACGGGUUCGUCCUAUUAUAAUCACACUAAGUCAAAAUGUAACCUUGAUCAAGUUGAUAACUUUUUAUCGUCUAUUCUGGCGCAAUUAAGCGAUUCGCAUACAUUGUUGUGUGGUGACAUGAACGCUCGAACAGGUGAGAGCAAUAACCCACAGGUUCCUGUUAAUGAUGAUAGAAAUAUCAACAUUGGUGUAUUUGAAGAUGAUGAUGAUAUCACAGUUAAUAAUCGAAAGUCACAUGAUACUGUCAUUAAUAAGUUCGGACAAAACUAUUUAUUGUUAAUGGCAGAGUGUUCGGAAACGAACGAGGUGAAUUUACUUUCAUGGGACAACAAGGCAAUAGUGUUAAUGACUAUUUCAUCUCUUCCCCCUGACUUUUUUCAAUAUAUCAGCAAGCUGAAUAUAGGUGAUCAAUUAGAAUCUGAUCAUUUGCCACUGGAACUAACCUGUAAAUUUCCUACCCUGAAAACGUCGAAUCUUAAUACAUCGUCGGAAGGUUUACUUGAUA
Long non-coding RNA from Haliotis rubra (blacklip abalone), 1373 nucleotides. RefSeq lists it as uncharacterized. Lineage: Eukaryota; Metazoa; Mollusca; Gastropoda; Lepetellida; Haliotidae. The record is from RefSeq and is a predicted model, not a curated record. The transcript has 3 exons.